CAGGCUGCCCGGGGAGGUGGUUGAGUCACCACCCAUGGAGAUGUUCAAUAAACAUUUAGAUGUUUUACUGAGUGAUGUGGUUUGGUGGGGAAAUACUGGUGGUAGGUGAAUGUUUGGACUACAUGAUUAUGGAGGUUUUGUCCAACUUUGGUGAUUCUGUGAUUUUAUGAUUGUAUGAAAAAAGGAAUCAUUAUGACUAAUGAAAACAGUAUAACGGUGGACAUUCUUUUGGGAUUAUUAUUUUCUGUUUUAAUAGCAAUUCUAAUUCUAUGUUAUUUGGGGCCUUGACAGCCUUCGAUCCUACUUUUUUGAUCAUUUUUCAGCUCUAACCUUGCAAACUGCAGUUUAAGUUUUUAUCGAACACUUACCUUCCUAAUAUGAUAUGUAAAAGUUAUUUCCUAUUUUAUGAAUACCGUCAUAGAAAGAAAGAAAGAAAGAAACUAGUGAGGAAGGUAGAAAGGAAAGCAUUGCAAAAUUGUAUGGGUUAGAAGAGAUCUCUGAAAAUCAUCGCGUCCAACCCCCUGCAAAAGAAGUCUCCCUGGGGAAGGUUGUACAUAAAAGUGUCCAGGUAGGUUUUGAAUAUCUCUGGAGAAGGAUACUCCACAGCCUCUCUUGGCAGCCUCUUCCAGUGUUCUGUCACCCUCAAAGUAAAGAAUUUAUUUCUUAUGUUCAGGUGGAACUUUUUCUGUGUUCCUUUUUGUGCUCACUGCCCUUUAUCCUCUUGCUGAACAUGACCAAUAAGAGCCUGGCCCCAUCCUCUUAACACUCACCCUUUUGAUAUUUUUAAGCGUUUCUAAGAUCUUCUCUCAGUCUUCUCUUUUUCUAAGGAAGGAAGGCAGAAGAUGGAAGAAAGGGAGGAAGGGACAGGGUAAGAGUAGAAGUGAGGGAAGAAAAAAAUAACUUUUAUGUUAAUUGACAGCAAAGGCAACCUCAUAGAUUAGAGUGGACAGUAGAUAAAAGAAAAAAGCUUUUAACUAAAAGAAUUGGAAAUAAAAGAUUUCCCAAAGGUUUUAUGUGAAAUUAUUCUAAAGAUGAUAAGUUUUAUGCUAAACAUUUGAAUUUUGGAAGGCUAAUUCAUAAUGAGAAUAUAUAUAUACAUAUUUAUGUAUAUAUAUGUAGAUUUUAAAUUUAUUUUUUUACCAGCAUGGAGAGAGAAUAGAAUAUACUACACACACACACACAAAAGUGUAAAUAAACUGAUAAUGUGCAUCAGCUGUGUUACUUUUUCAAGGAAAGGUGAAAUUUGUGUAAGAACUUAAUAUUGAAGAAUUAAGCAGACUAGUGCUAAUAGGCAAAAAUGUAUUAUGGUAGACCAGUUGUUUUAAUAUUCUAACGUCAAAACAUUAAAUGAUGUUUUUCUUUCAUUCUUUUUGGAAGGUGGUAAUUCUUCAAAAUUCAUAUCACACUUCUGCGAUGUUCAGUUUUACAUUUAUUUGGGAGUUCAUCUUUCCAUCAUUGUAACUUGGAAUCAUGAACAUCUUUAAAUCUGUACAUCAUAGAAUAUUUUCUCUUCUACCCUACUAAACAUCAGCAUGUUUACAGAGCAUUAAAAAUCCUUUGAUUUCCAAUGUCACUCCUCAAAUACAAGCAGACAAGUUAUUGUUAUGAUAUAAUUUUCUUUUUGGCAAAAAAUACUCGGUAUCACACACUGUUGAAAAACAACUUAAACACAACCAACAUUUUUUGUGCUAGUUUUUCUAAGUCGUGAGAUUUGUAUUAGAUAUGAUAGAAGGCAACUGUUGGUGAUUUUCCUUUUUAUAUUUUGAGUAGUGUUGUUCAACAGAUUAUGUUGUUUUUUGUAGCUAUUCAUCAGUGAAGAUAAGUGGAAAAAAAAUCUUAGGUAUAAUUUUUCUGUUAUGAUGUUAUAUAUGAUCAAUGGUGUCCUUAUGUUUGUAGUUUCUUUCCCUUCUUUAUUUUUUGUAUUUCUGUAGUCUAAAUUUCAGACAGUAAAAUAACAUCCUAAUUUAUAUGUCUACAUUUGGCAAGUUCUCAAUAACUUGCAAAUAAAUGUUCGUCUCGUCUGUUCUGACUGACAGCCCAGAAAUAGCCUUUUAAAUUGUGUCAGAUUCUUGUAUCUCUGUUUGAAAGGUAAAGUUAAACAGUUUUCAUGGCAAUGUGAAUGAAGUUGAAUCAGCUGUUUUGGUGACUGUAGUAAACUUUUGUCUAUAAGAUUGUGCAUGAUUUUAUCUCUGAACACUAAUAGCUGACUGAAAACUGUUGCAGAUGUCCAUUUACUUUUGGGCUUUUGAUAGUUCAAAGUAAUUUAUUUACCAAAAUAGACCUAUUCUCACUAUUCUCUUAUUACAUAUUUAGACAUUAUUUUGCCUUUUCUCCACUGUGGAAUGAAUGAAAAUGUUCCAUCAUCACAAACAUCAGUAAGGUUUUCUAGAAAAGUAAAAAGUAGUGGAUUCAAAAACCCUAUGGAGAGAAAUAUGAUUUCAUCAGCUGACAUAUAUUUAUCCAAUAUUUCAAUCAAGAAAUAUUGUAUUUGUAUUACAGUAUCUUUCUAUGUUUCCAGUAAAGAUUGAAUCUCUGUCAUGCCUUGCAUUCUACAUGCUCAUGAAAUGACUUUGUACUUGCUACAAAGACUUUACAACAAAAGCUACUAGAGAAAAUGCAGCUAUUUAUCUACCAACCUAACAUACUCACUGCACAUAAACACUCGGUUUCAUGGCCCAGAAAGUAUAAUAUAUCACCAGAAUUGGUGUAUUAAGCUGUUUUUUUGCUUCUACUCGUUAUUGAGUUGCUCCUGUGCAACAUGCUAUUGCAGUACUAAUAACAGAAUGCCAAAAUAAUAUGAACAACUUAACAUAAAAGUAAGUAAAUCCACAAACUAAGAAAUUAAAUUCAUAAUGAACUUUAAACAUUUGAUUUAAAUAAAUGUAAAUAUACUUUGUGACCCAAUGAUUUUUGAUUUAUCGGAAAAUCUGUUGGCCCUUUUUUCUGCCAGAAAAUCUGCAAUAUUUUUUUUUCACUAUUAUUUUUAUUAAAUAUUUAAAGAUCAUAAUACAUAUGAAGAUUUUUUCUUUUUUAAUAUUUUUUAAAGUUUUUUUUUCAGAUCACCCACAUUUAAAAGGAACCCUGUUGUAUCCCUUCGGUAUACUUUCAGAGCAACUGCCACUUUAAUAUGUUCCUUUCAAAAUCUACAAAGAAAAUAUCUUUCACAUACUCAAUACAAAAUGUAACCGAGUAGUACAAAAUCUCACAUGUGAAAAUCAGUUUGUUAAAACUUCCAUGUGAAUAUGUACUUAAACAUAGAGUCAACCUGGGCAUAGAUAAAGAUCUUUUACGAAUUUGGACUGUGAAUAACAAAAUACCUUACUUUCAUUGCAGUUGACAAGGCAUUCUGAUUUAACUGUAGUUUUUCACUUGAAACAUCCAUUUUCUCUGUAUUUUGUAUUUUGUAUCUAUAUUUCUCACUAUAGCCAGUGAGCCUGAGGAUGUCUCAUGAUCUCUUAAAGGAGCUGAUUCUAAAAUACAGUAUACAGUUAGAUUCCAUAGCAUUUUCAAGCUUAAAAAUCAGGAUGAGCUAUUUUCAGUGCUGAUAUCAGCUUGAAUCAUGGUAAGUUUGAAGUCAGAGUGUGCUUGAAAGUAACCAUACAGUGAAAUACACUGAUUCAGGGCAAAUUUACAAAGCUAUAUAAAGAAUCUACAGAGCAAGGAUGAUAUCAAUAAUUGGAGAUGAAAAUAAGCUUCUAGUAAAUAUAUGAUCAGAGAGGUUAAAUUUGCUGAUCUAUGACUGUAAAAUCUGUGCAAUCUGAUCACUGCACAGAAGUUGUCAUCAAUUUCAAUAUCUUUGAAAUAUUUUGGUAUUAAAAUACUGGAAAUAUAUUUCCUACUUAGUUUUACUGUGUAUGGCAUAAAGUACAAAAGGAACAGAGAAGCCUACCAGUAACAUUAAAAUUGUUUUCUAUGUCUGCAUAAGCUUGGGAUUAUCUAGGUUCUUCUUGGUUUUGUUUGCUAUCAGAAGGUGGUGUUUUGUAGAGGCACUUUCUUGGAAUAUGUUUUAUUUUAUGCAUUUGUAUGGAGAGAGAGAAAUAUAUUGUCAUAAAUCACAGCAAGACUUUCAGCAUUAAAGCUGAAGACAUGACUUUUAGAAGCCUUUGAACUCCAAUUUACAUAAAAUAUUUAAUGAAAUGCCUUCUAAAGCAAGAAUGCUAUUCUGGAGAAUAUAGAAAUUUGUUAAGCAAAAAAAAAAAAAAAAAAAAUAGGAGUUAUUCAAGCAUUUUACAGUUAGUCUGUAAAAUCCUUAUCCUUCACCAAUAGAGGUGUCUUUCCUUCACCUGGCAGGAAUGAAAUAGUGCUUAAUUUAUACAGACCACAAGGUAAAUGUGUCUCAUUUCAGUGACAAGUUGAAAAUGGAAACAACAGACUGAAUUUCUGUUAUAAAUUCUUCUGGCAAUCAGCUGGAAUUAAAUGUUACCCCUAAAAUGUGUCGCAAAGCUUGUAGUAAACUUGACAGUGUGAGUUCCUGGAACACAUCUUCUAAAAUAUCUAGGAAAUUAGAAAACCUACUGAUGACAUUUCCUGAUUGUAAUGUAGUGUACAUUGUAGUGUACACUACAUUAGUGUAGUGUAGUGUAGUGUAGUACAUCUAGUGUAAUUAGCAAGAACGGUUGAGGAUUUUAAGGGAGGUGAACAAAUUGAACUCUUGUAUCUCACAGGGAGCACAACAAAUUCAAGUGUUUACUUCUCAAUUGCAAUGACUUUAUAGGUUGGUUUCUGCAUCUUGGGAGAAACUGAGAUGCUUCAGCUCUGAUUCCCUUACUGUUUUGAAUGAGAAGACUUACUGGAGGUACUGAGUUCAUGACUUGAGAGAAAAACCUGGAUAGAACACAUUCAUUUCAUGUGUAUUAACAAUAAUUGAAGAGAGAACAUAGAUUUUUUCAAUUGUGAUAGACCAGUUGACCAUGAAAGUGAGCUGCAGAACUAUUUGCUAAAUUUUGAAUGCAUUUUUGCCAUACAUGAACUGUGCUUUGAUAGAAAUUCUAUAUUUGUUCUGUAGGAUUGUAUCAACUGAGUUUUUAAACAUCUCAGGCUUUGAUUCAUCAUCAGCCAUAUGUUUAUAAAAUUAGUAAUUGCUUAUAGAUGUUAGGCUUUAAAACAGUCCUGCAGAAGUCUACAGUACUCCUUGCAAAUGCUACAGGAUGCUAUAGUUUCAUUUAAAUAUCUCCUUAUUGUGUUCAUUUCUGAGUGUUAAAUUCACAAAAUGUACUCUGUGCUUGAAUAUAUCCAAACAACUUUUUUCUAUAUUUUAUUAUGUUUUGCAUUUUUCCCAAGAUGUAAUACUAAUUUGGAGUGAAGAUGAAGCAAAUUAAGAAAUAAUUGUAGAAAUCCUAGAAUGAGACUUAAGAAUUUUAAAAUUCUGUGUCUAUAUGAUCAUCAUUUACACCAAAAUGAAGUUUGUCUGCUUAGUAUUUGGCAUACUUUAAUAUAAAUAAAGAAAUAGAACCCA
Molecule: long non-coding RNA, 5455 nt
Organism: Gallus gallus (chicken)
Lineage: Eukaryota; Metazoa; Chordata; Aves; Galliformes; Phasianidae
Exons: 2
Source: RefSeq, a predicted model, not a curated record